UACGGGAGGCAGCAGGGGGGAAUAUUGCAACAAUGGGCGCAAGCCUGAUGCAGCCAUGCCGCGUGUAUGAAGAAGGCCUUUCGGGUUGUAAAGUACUUUCAGUCGUGAGGAAGGUGUUAAGGUUAAUAACCUUAGCAAUUGACGUUAGCGACAGAAGAAGCACCGGCUAACUCCGUGCCAGCAGCCGCGGUAAUACGGAGGGUGCGAGCGUUAAUCGGAAUUACUGGGCGUAAAGGGCACGCAGGCGGUUAAUUAAGUUGGAUGUGAAAUCCCCGGGCUUAACCUGGGAAUGGCAUUCAAGACUGGUUAGCUAGAGUCUUGUAGAGGGGGUAGAAUUCCAUGUGUAGCGGUGAAAUGCGUAGAGAUGUGGAGGAAUACCGGUGGCGAAGGCGGCCCCUGGACAAAGACUGACGCUCAUGUGCGAAAGCUGGGGAGCAAACAGGG
RNAcentral lists this ribosomal RNA (444 nucleotides) under uncultured bacterium. RNAcentral's name for it is "bacterial SSU rRNA". It matches the Rfam family "Bacterial small subunit ribosomal RNA", at positions 340 to 777 of the family's 1533-position model. The record is from RNAcentral.